This 512-nucleotide ribosomal RNA is filed under the name uncultured bacterium. RNAcentral's name for it is "partial 16S ribosomal RNA". It matches the Rfam family "Bacterial small subunit ribosomal RNA", at positions 28 to 523 of the family's 1533-position model. The record is from RNAcentral.
GACGAACGCUGGCGGCGUGCCUAAUACAUGCAAGUCGAGCGGACAGAAGGGAGCUUGCUCCCGGAUGUUAGCGGCGGACGGGUGAGUAACACGUGGGUAACCUGCCUGUAAGACUGGGAUAACUCCGGGAAACCGGAGCUAAUACCGGAUAGUUCCUUGAGCCGCAUGGUUCAAGGAUGAAAGACGGUUUCGGCUGUCACUUACAGAUGUACCCGCGGCGCAUUAGCUAGUUGGUGAGGUAACGGCUCACCAAGGCGACGAUGCGUAGCCGACCUGAGAGGGUGAUCGGCCACACUGGGACUGAGACACGGCCCAGACUCCUACGGGAGGCAGCAGUAGGGAAUCUUCCGCAAUGGACGAAAGUCUGACGGAGCAACGCCGCGUGAGUGAUGAAGGUUUUCGGAUCGUAAAGCUCUGUUGUUAGGGAAGAACAAGUGCAAGAGUAACUGCUUGCACCUUGACGGUACCUAACCAGAAAGCCACGGCUAACUACGUGCCAGCCGCCGCCGUAA